AGCGAACGCUGGCGGCAGGCCUAACACAUGCAAGUCGAACGAACCUUUCGGGGUUAGUGGCGGACGGGUGAGUAACACGUGGGAACGUGCCUUUAGGUUCGGAAUAACUCAGGGAAACUUGUGCUAAUACCGAAUGUGCCCUUCGGGGGAAAGAUUAAUCGCCUUUAGAGCGGCCCGCGUCUGAUUAGCUAGUUGGUUGAGGUAAUGGCUCACCAAGGCGACGAUCAGUAGCUGGUCUGAGAGGAUGAUCAGCCACAUUGGGACCGAGACACGGCCCAAACUCCUACGGGAGGCAGCAGUGGGGAAUCUUGCGCAAUGGGCGAAAGCCUGACGCAGCCAUGCCGCGUGAAUGAUGAAGGUCUUAGGAUUGUAAAAUUCUUUCACCGGGGACGAUAAUGACGGUACCCGGAGAAGAAGCCCCGGCUAACUUCGUG
Molecule: ribosomal RNA, 434 nt
Filed under: uncultured bacterium
Lineage: Bacteria
Description: partial 16S ribosomal RNA
Rfam family: Bacterial small subunit ribosomal RNA
Source: RNAcentral